CGAGCCGGCCAGGUAGUCGCUGGUUGUGUGCGCUGAAACGUACGCAGCGAGAGGAAAGUCCGGGCUCCGCAGGACAGGGUGCCAGGUAAUGCCUGGGAGGUGCAAACCUACGGAUAGUGCCGCAGAAAGCAAACCGCCUAAGGCACGCGUGCCCAGUGCACGCGCGCACGGUAAGGGUGAAAGGGUGUGGUAAGAGCGCACCGCGCCCGUGGUAACACGGGUGGCAGGGUAAACCCCACUCGGAGCAAGGCCAAAUAGGAAUCCAGCAGGUGUGGUCCGCACCGGAUUCGGGUAGGCCGCUUGAGGUGUUUGGCGACGAACAUCCUAGAUGAAUGACUACCCGUGAUGUGCUGGCGACAGUCAUCGCGACAGAACCCGGCUUAUCGGCCGGCUCGUUUC
Molecule: RNase P RNA, 399 nt
Filed under: Gammaproteobacteria bacterium
Lineage: Bacteria; Pseudomonadati; Pseudomonadota; Gammaproteobacteria
Description: RNase P RNA component class A
Rfam family: Bacterial RNase P class A
About the family: Ribonuclease P (RNase P) is a ubiquitous endoribonuclease, found in archaea, bacteria and eukarya as well as chloroplasts and mitochondria. Its best characterised activity is the generation of mature 5'-ends of tRNAs by cleaving the 5'-leader elements of precursor-tRNAs. Cellular RNase Ps are ribonucleoproteins.
Source: RNAcentral